RNAcentral lists this ribosomal RNA (684 nucleotides) under Limosilactobacillus fermentum. RNAcentral describes it as "bacterial SSU rRNA". It matches the Rfam family "Bacterial small subunit ribosomal RNA", at positions 374 to 1048 of the family's 1533-position model. Lineage: Bacteria; Bacillati; Bacillota; Bacilli; Lactobacillales; Lactobacillaceae. The record is from RNAcentral.
GGCGCAAGCCUGAUGGAGCAACACCGCGUGAGUGAAGAAGGGUUUCGGCUCGUAAAGCUCUGUUGUUAAAGAAGAACACGUAUGAGAGUAACUGUUCAUACGUUGACGGUAUUUAACCAGAAAGUCACGGCUAACUACGUGCCAGCAGCCGCGGUAAUACGUAGGUGGCAAGCGUUAUCCGGAUUUAUUGGGCGUAAAGAGAGUGCAGGCGGUUUUCUAAGUCUGAUGUGAAAGCCUUAGGCUUAACCGGAGAAGUGCAUCGGAAACUGGAUAACUUGAGUGCAGAAGAGGGUAGUGGAACUCCAUGUGUAGCGGUGGAAUGCGUAGAUAUAUGGAAGAACACCAGUGGCGAAGGCGGCUACCUGGUCUGCAACUGACGCUGAGACUCGAAAGCAUGGGUAGCGAACAGGAUUAGAUACCCUGGUAGUCCAUGCCGUAAACGAUGAGUGCUAGGUGUUGGAGGGUUUCCGCCCUUCAGCGCCGGAGCUAACGCAUUAAGCACUCCGCCUGGGGAGUACGACCGCAAGGUUGAAACUCAAAGGAAUUGACGGGGGCCCGCACAAGCGGUGGAGCAUGUGGUUUAAUUCGAAGCUACGCGAAGAACCUUACCAGGUCUUGACAUCUUGCGCCAACCCUAGAGAUAGGGCGUUUCCUUCGGGGAACGCAAUGACAGGUGGUGCAUGG